GCCUGAGUGGCUCAGUCGGUCAAGCAUCUGACUUUGACUCAGGUCAUGAUCUCACAGUUCAUGGGUUCGAGACCCAUGUCAGGCU
This 85-nucleotide transfer RNA is filed under the name Felis catus (domestic cat). It matches the Rfam family "tRNA". From Rfam's summary of the family: Transfer RNA (tRNA) molecules are approximately 80 nucleotides in length. The record is from Rfam by way of RNAcentral. Lineage: Eukaryota; Metazoa; Chordata; Mammalia; Carnivora; Felidae.